Long non-coding RNA from Canis lupus familiaris (dog), 2568 nucleotides. RefSeq lists it as uncharacterized. The transcript has 2 exons. The record is from RefSeq and is a predicted model, not a curated record. NCBI's taxonomy places the organism in Eukaryota, Metazoa, Chordata, Mammalia, Carnivora, Canidae.
UGAAGUGUCAAUUUAGCUAAUUUGUCCUUAUUUUUUAAACUUUACUUUUAUCUUCCAAUAGAGAGAAGAGCAGCAAAGUGGUUCUACCUCUUAGCUCAGCUGCCCUGCCAUACAUGAUGUUGGGAAACAUGGUGGAAACUUGGUACACUCUUGCUUCUAAAACUCUCCUAGCUGAUCAGGAAGCUAAUCAGGGAAACUGUGUUUAAGCCUUGAUUUCUUAAUACUUUGCUUACCGUGACUUUAGUACUUUUGGAGCAAAUUAUUUCUGAAUGGCAUGAAAAUUAAUUAAUUUGAAAACCUUGAUUUUAUAUCGACUGAAAAGUUUUAAAGUUACACAUAAAUAAAUUUAAAAAAAUAAAUUUUUUGCAAAGGGAAGUCAGGGGUCCAUUCAAAUAAGAUUUGGACUGAGAGUGUUUUUUUCUUAGUCGAAUAGGACCUUACAUUUCAUACUACUCGCUGGGUAAAAAGUCACUUUGUUUUUAAAGAGUAUAUAUGUUAGUGUUUUAUUUUACCCUGCUACUGUGGUUAAAUUCAAGUUAGAUAUUAUUAUUUGGGGGAGCCACUUCCUACCCUAAAGCAAUAUUAAAUGAUACUAUAUGCUAUUAAAUGGCAAGCACAGAAUUAUCCGUAUUUCACUCUUGUAUUUGGUUAAUUGAGACAUGGAUGCUUGUGACCUUUCUUUCCUUCAUCAUUCUUUUCUUCUAAGCUGUUGUUUAAACAGAGUGUUAUUACCGCUUUGAUGAAGUCUAAAGGUGAUAAUGUGUAAUGUACCUAUAAUCAUAGCCUUGCACCUUCUUCACUUCAUUUAAAAGAUUUUUCAGGCUAACGGGAGCUCUAAAUGGGAAUAUAUUUUUGUCGGUGAUAGAUUUCCAUAACCCAAUUAAAUAUAGAAACAUGAGGACCAAAAAGAUAGUAAUAAUGGAGGUCAAAGAGCACAGUGAAGUACCGUUGAAAUAUGAUGACCUGUAAUUGUCUUACUCCUUCUGCUACACCACAAGAACAAAAGGGACUACUUAGAAAUGCAAUGAAAAUUUAUUCCAUUUUGGUUAGAUUAAAAAUGAACAGUCAAAUGCUUAGUUCUCAGAGAGACGAGUGUAUGAUAGGUCAACUGAAGGUAUUUGUUGUAUCUUAAAAUCUAUUUGAAAUGUUUAAGUGAAUUAUUGCCUAAAUUGACAGGUGAUUGCUAUCCAGGCUAACAAUAUAUUUCUGUUAGCCUAGAUCAAAAGGGACUAUGUAAAAAAAUAUAUGCGCUUUGUAAGCUUUGGCUGUAGAUAAGAUGAUAAGAUACAUGAAUUAGGAAAUGAAUAAACUGGAAUUACAGUUAAAUCCACAUAAUGCUAUUGUGAAAUGUCCUUAACUUGCAAUUUUUUGCAAAGCAUGCUGUGCACAGUGUGGUAAGUGUGCUUGUAAUUAACAAUUAAGGCAGCUUCUCACAUGGAGAAAUGUACAAGCAAUUUUUUUAAAAAAUCAUUUCAAUAAAUACCUGAGGUGAAGUCAACAUGAUUUUAAGUUGUUUAAAAAAGUGUAUGCUUAUAACUAUUCUGUCUGCAAAAUUUAGUGUAUACACAAAUUUGGUAAUUUAAUUCCUUAUUAAAUAUUAUGUUUUUAUAUGCAAAUACUAAAAACUAAUAGUAAAAAUGAUCCAAAAAUUUAUUUGUGUUUUUAAAACACUUUUAGAAGACUCAAACUUAAAGAUGCAUCCAAAUUUUAGAAUAUAUCUUCUUUUUAUAAUUUUGGAAAUCAUGAGUACACUUGUACCCUUAAAUUAAGUCUAUAAACAUAGAAGACUAAUUUGAAAGAAAUCAGUCAUGCAAGAAACAUUCUUUUAUAUGCAGAAUGUGUUUAUGAUUUUUAAAUGGCAAAGAAUAAGCUUUGGAAUAGUACUCUUUAAAUCAUUAAAAAAUUCACCUGUCUAAUAAAUAUAGUCACAUUUCUGUUGUUUUAAAUUAAUGCUUUAUCUACAUUUAUGUAUAUAAAAUUUUCAAUUUUAGUUGAAAAUCUCUUCAUGUAAAAUAUUCCAACUGUCCUUUGGAACAAAGCCCAAUUAAUAUUCCAUUGAUUUCAUUGUUAAUGGAUGACCAGGUCACAGCCCAAGCAGAGGAGAAAGUUAAGUAAUGUCAGCUGCUUCCUCUUUCAAAAAAGCCAUAGGACAUCAUCCAAAUUCUAUUUUCUAUGUUCUGUGUAGCAAUGUCUCCAAAUACCAUAAUAACCCUUCUUCUCUUUAUGAAAACCUCUUUGCAGUUUACAGGGUAAGAACAGAAGACUAAGCCAUGACAAAUGUCCAAAGCAGUUUUUAAGAAUUUAUUUUCAAGGCAAGAAGAAUAACUGCAUUUUUCCCUACUGGAUUCCAUGACGUUCUUUCAAAACUUCCUUAAGGACUUCCUUAAGAGUUCUCUACCAUGCCAUGCCUAUAAUACAUGGGAGGACCCUGACAAAAGCAUAUAUCUAGUUGGAAAAGUAUAUUUCUAUCCAUCUCUGUCCUUCAUUUGGAUCAAUUUUUACUUCCUCCGUUUAUAUUUAUAAAUUUUUUCACUGUCUGCAAUAAAUAUGCUGCUGAAAGGAAUUGAA